Molecule: ribosomal RNA, 260 nt
Filed under: uncultured eukaryote
Lineage: Eukaryota
Description: partial 18S ribosomal RNA
Rfam family: Eukaryotic small subunit ribosomal RNA
Source: RNAcentral
GCAUCCAUGUCUUGUAAUUGGAAUGAGUAUAAAUUAAAUGCCUUUACAAGUAUCAAUUGGAGGGCAAGUCUGGUGCCAGCAGCCGCGGUAAUUCCAGCUCCAAUAGCGUAUAUUAAAGUUGUUGUGGUUAAAAAGCUCGUAGUUGGAUUUCUGCUGAGGACGACCGGUCCGCCCUCUGGGUGAGUAUCUGGCUCUGCCUUGGCAUCUUUUUGGAGAACGUUGCUGCACUUGACUGUGUGGUGCGGGAUUCAAGACAUUUA